AACAACGAUCAUGUCAGACUCAGUCACCUGGAGGCACCCGCAUCGUACUUACCCAGCAUGGAUUCAGUCUGCUCUGGCGGUCUGAUCCUCAAAUGGCUUAACCAUCCGGCGGCGAAAUCGUCGCACAAACGCCACGACAAUGGUUCAAGCCCCGGGCGGUGAUCUCCAUAUGAUCGCCCCCAAUCUACCCACGGUACCAAGCUCGGCGGCGAAGUUGUC
Molecule: long non-coding RNA, 219 nt
Filed under: Ananas comosus (pineapple)
Lineage: Eukaryota; Viridiplantae; Streptophyta; Magnoliopsida; Poales; Bromeliaceae
Description: long non-coding RNA (ACOM_LNC036483)
Source: RNAcentral